Molecule: unclassified non-coding RNA, 1344 nt
Filed under: uncultured cyanobacterium
Lineage: Bacteria; Bacillati; Cyanobacteriota
Description: bacterial SSU rRNA
Rfam family: Bacterial small subunit ribosomal RNA (bases 1-1057)
Source: RNAcentral
GAAGAAAAAGCAUCGGCUAACUCCGUGCCAGCAGCCGCGGUAAUACGGAGGAUGCAAGCGUUAUCCGGAAUCAUUGGGCGUAAAGGGUCCGCAGGUGGCGAAUAAAGUCUGCUGUUAAAGACCGGGGCUAAACUCCGGAAAGGCAGUGGAAACUGAUUAGCUAGAGUACGGUAGGGGUAGAGGGAAUUCCCAGUGUAGCGGUGAAAUGCGUAGAUAUUGGGAAGAACACCGGUGGCGAAAGCGCUCUACUAGGCCGAAACUGACACUGAGGGACGAAAGCUAGGGUAGCGAAAGGGAUUAGAUACCCCUGUAGUCUUAGCGGUAAACGAUGGAUACUAGGUGUAGCUUGUAUCGACCCGAGCUGUGCCGAAGCUAACGCGAUAAGUAUCCCGCCUGGGGAGUACGCACGCAAGUGUGAAACUCAAAGGAAUUGACGGGGGCCCGCACAAGCGGUGGAGUAUGUGGUUUAAUUCGAUGCAACGCGAAGAACCUUACCAGGGCUUGACAUGUCGCGAAUCUAGCGGAAACGUUAGAGUGCCUUAGGGAAUGCGAACACAGGUGGUGCAUGGCUGUCGUCAGCUCGUGUCGUGAGAUGUUGGGUUAAGUCCCGCAACGAGCGCAACCCUCGUCCUUAGUUGCCAAUAUUAAGUUAGGCACUCUAGGGAGACUGCCGGGGACAACUCGGAGGAAGGUGGGGAUGACGUCAAGUCAGCAUGCCCCUUACGUCCUGGGCGACACACGUACUACAAUGGUUGGGACAAAGGGCAGCAAACUCGCGAGAGUAAGCGAAUCUCAUCAAACCCAGCCACAGUUCAGAUUGCAGGCCGCAACUCGCCUGCAUGAAGUAGGAAUCGCUAGUAAUCGCAGGUCAGCAUACUGCGGUGAAUUCGUUCCCGGGCCUUGUACACACCGCCCGUCACACCAUGGAAGCUGGCUACGCCCGAAGUCGUUACCCUAACCCGGUUUUGGGAGGGGGAUGCCGAAGGUAGAGCUAGUGACUGGGGUGAAGUCGUAACAAGGUAGCCGUACCGGAAGGUGUGGCUGGAUCACCUCCUUUACAGGGAGACCUAGUCUAAUUACCAAUAGAUAAAAAAGUUGGUAAUUCGCAAGAAUCCUUAGGUCGUGAGGGGAGCAAGAAAAAACUUUCAAACUGUAAUGGGUGAGGGUCAAUGGGCUAUUAGCUCAGGUGGUUAGAGCGCACCCCUGAUAAGGGUGAGGUCCCUGGUUCAAGUCCAGGAUGGCCCACCUGAAAUACACAGGCAUCCUGCCUGUGCCACAAAAAAAGGAAAAAGUUUUGGCAUUGUCUCUUGUAAUCAAGAGCAAGAGAUAAUGCUGGAAUAGAUU